GUGCUUCAGCAGCACAUAUACUAAAAAAUUAGAAUGAGUCAGAGAAGAUUAGUGUGGCUCCUGUACAAGGGUGACAUGCAAAUUUGCGAAACACUUCAUAUUUUU
Small nuclear RNA from Chlorocebus sabaeus (green monkey), 105 nucleotides. The record is from Ensembl. NCBI's taxonomy places the organism in Eukaryota, Metazoa, Chordata, Mammalia, Primates, Cercopithecidae.